UUAUAUCACGUUGAAACACCGGUACUCGUACAAACACAGAAGUUAAGCAAUGUCGAGCCUGGUCAGUACGUAGAUGGGUGACAGCUUGUUAAUAAAAGGUGUUGUAAG
Non-coding RNA from Acanthosepion pharaonis, 108 nucleotides. The record is from the annotation of a GenBank genome assembly. Lineage: Eukaryota; Metazoa; Mollusca; Cephalopoda; Sepiida; Sepiidae.